RNAcentral lists this ribosomal RNA (1398 nucleotides) under uncultured bacterium. RNAcentral's name for it is "16S ribosomal RNA". It matches the Rfam family "Bacterial small subunit ribosomal RNA", at positions 24 to 1397 of the family's 1533-position model. The record is from RNAcentral.
UCAGGAUGAACGCUGGCUACAGGCUUAACACAUGCAAGUUCGAGGGGAAAACGACGGGGAAGCUUGCUUUUUCGGGCGUCGACCGGCGCACGGGUCGAGUAACGCGUAUCCAACUCCGCCUCUGACUGAGGGAUAACCCCGUCGAAAGUCGGCCUAAUACCUCAUGGCAUCGUCUGCGGGCAUCCAACGACGAUUAAAGAUUUCAUCGGUCAGGGAUGGGGAUGCGUCUGAUUAGUUAGUUGGCGGGGUAACGGCCCACCAAGGCUACGAUCAGUAGGGGUUCUGAGAGGAAGGUCCCCCACAUUGGAACUGAGACACGGUCCAAACUCCUACGGGAGGCAGCAGUGAGGAAUAUUGGUCAAUGGGCGGGAGCCUGAACCAGCCAAGUAGCGUGCAGGAUGACGGCCCUAUGGGUUGUAAACUGCUUUUAUGCGGGGAUAAAGUGAGGGACGUGUCCUUCAUUGCAGGUACCGCAUGAAUAAGGACCGGCUAAUUCCGUGCCAGCAGCCGCGGUAAUACGGAAGGUCCGGGCGUUAUCCGGAUUUAUUGGGUUUAAAGGGAGCGUAGGCCGUGGAUUAAGCGUGUUGUGAAAUGCAGGUGCUCAACGUCUGCACUGCAGCGCGAACUGGUUCACUUGAGUGUGCGCAACGCAGGCGGAAUUCGUCGUGUAGCGGUGAAAUGCUUAGAUAUGACGAAGAGCUCCGAUUGCGAAGGCAGCUUGCGGGAGCACAACUGACGCUGAAGCUCGAAAGUGCGGGUAUCGAACAGGAUUAGAUACCCUGGUAGUCCGCACGGUAAACGAUGGAUGCCCGUUGUCAGGCUGUUUCAGCCUGGUGACCAAGCGAAAGCAUUAAGCAUCCCACCUGGAGAGUACGCCGGCAACGGUGAAACUCAAAGGAAUUGACGGGGGCCCGCACAAGCGGAGGAACAUGUGGUUUAAUUCGAUGAUACGCGAGGAACCUUACCCGGGCUUGAAUUGCAGACGAAGGCUUCAGAGAUGAAGAGUCCCUUCGGGGCGUCUGUGAAGGUGCUGCAUGGUUGUCGUCAGCUCGUGCCGUGAGGUGUCGGCUUAAGUGCCAUAACGAGCGCAACCCCUUUCUUCAGUUGCCAUCAGGUGAUGCUGGGCACUCUGUAGACACUGCCACCGCAAGGUGUGAGGAAGGUGGGGAUGACGUCAAAAUCAGCACGGCCCUUACGUCCGGGGCUACACACGUGUUACGAAUGGCCGGUACAGAGAGUUGAUUUUGUGCAAACACGAUCUAAUCCUUAAAUCCGGUCCCGGUUUCGGACUGGGGGUCUGCGACCCGACCCCCGCGAAAGCUGGAUUUCGCUAGUAAUCGCGCGUUCGGCCCGUGGCGCGGUGAAAUACGUUUCCCGGGCCUUGUACACCUCGCCCGU